Dermacentor andersoni is the source of this 3280-nucleotide non-coding RNA. Lineage: Eukaryota; Metazoa; Arthropoda; Arachnida; Ixodida; Ixodidae. The record is from RefSeq and is a predicted model, not a curated record.
ACUCGCUUUUAAAAUCACGGGUGUUAUUUUUUUAUGCCACAGAUCAAAUAAUCUUGGUAGUGAUGCGCGUAUGUUGACAGUGUUCUCGGCCAGUUCCGAAGAUUGUAGUUUCGCUUUCGCGGAGUGUGUUAACUUCGUUUUGUUUUGGCGAUAGGUCUCUGGGUGGACUGUGUGACAAGUAUCGCCUCUUGAGUAUACCUGCAGCAGCGACGCGGCGAGAAUCGUCGCUGACGGACGUUUUUGCUAUUUCGGUGAAGACGCAUGCCGCCUUGUGCAGUAUCAAAAUGAGGACGGCUACAUUUCAGCAAGAUCAAGAACUGAGGUCAAGACGUUUGAAAAAUGACUCGCAACGUUCCAAAUUUUCGAGUGAUGGCACCGUCGUUGACCGGAGCCUCAACCUUCAAGGAAUUGUGACAAUGCUGAAAGAAGAUACGUGUAACAAGUCUGUAGGAGGCAUAAACUGUAGCAUCUGUGGGAAGCUGUACAAGAGCAAAGUGUGCUUUACCAAGCACAUAUGGGAACACUCUAUGUACUGGGACCUGUUUGACGACAUGAAGCACCAGGACCGUGUGUUAUCCAUCCAGGGAGCCCUCAUCCUCUAUAGCUUGCUGCAUCCUGGUGACCUAGCUGGUCUUUUGGUCACUGACCCACCACGACUGAGGCGGCGAGAACGACUUGAGAAAGCUGGCAUUCGCACACAGCCUUAGUUAGACGACUCCUUGUGUCCUUUUGUUGUGCUGCGUUAAUCUCACAGCUGGUCUCUGAGAGCUGAUGUUUGCUUGUUUCUGCUGAGCUGCUUGAUUCGGGCUUGCAUAUUUGUGGAUUCCUAUGUAAAAGGCACUUUGGUUUCACUCAGAAAUGUCUUCUAGACAUAGUCGAGGAUCAUGUUCAGCAGCUUCCUUUCAUUCUGGCUAGUGCAUUGGUUUGCUGUUAAGGUAUGAGCCCUGGUGUCUUUCAGGGAGUUACAUAAGAGCUGCUGAGGCAUAUAAGUUGCUUGUUUUAGUUUUUUCCUACUGUCAAUUGCUGUGGAAGAAAAAAGAGGCUACAGCUUUUAAUACUUCACCUAUACAACAUGUGUGGUGUUGUGGCAGUGUAACCUGCCUGACAGAACUUUUUUUUUUGCACAUACCUAGACGAAGCUGGGAUGAGUCACUAGACUUUCUUCUUCAUUUGGGCCUUUCAUUGUGGUGGCAGCAGCAGAAGCAAGUCUUAAUCACAAAAACCAUAGAAAACUUACUGUGCUGUGAAGCAGUUGACAUGAUUCAUACGAAGACCAUAAUUGUUUCGAUGAUGUGGGAAAGAGCAGCAGUAAGAAACCAGUUCGCAAGUAUUGAGUCUCUGAGCACUCGUGCGUUGUCAUAAAGUAUUAGCGUGGUGCCAGCAAAGUAUUAAAAUUUCCCUCGCAGGCUUUUUCUUUAAUUCUUUAAUGACCACAAUAUUGCAGUAUUGUUUUGGUCUCAGUCUACGUUUGGGAAUGUUUAUAACAAAUUACUCUUGAUGCCUUUAGUGUGCAGGAUGUUCUGUGUAAGUAACACCAAGCUUGAAAAGCAAGAAGAGAAACUGGUGCACCAUAGAAAGAUGAAACUGAGGCAGUUUUGUGGGUAACCAUUUUUACAUGUUCUAGUACCUUUAAGGCGAUGUGGUAGGGUAAAUGGGACAUCUUGGUUUCAGCUUUAUAUCUUAACAACUGUUCCAUAUUUUGUUGUGAAAUUUUGUGUGUCGAAGAAGAAUGCUUUUGGCCUUCACUUGGUGUAAUUUUUUUCACUGCAGCCUUUUUUUUUGUAUUUGAGAACCAAGCUUUAGGCUGGGGUGUAAAAUUAAAUGUACCUUUACUCAGAAGCAAGAAAUAGUAUGACUGUGACAUUUUGCACAGUAAUGAGAUAUUAUAGUGGCUUUAAUCCGAACCUGAAAGAAAUGGGCUCACACAUUCAUCUCACAAGAAAAAAAAAAUUACCCUCACUUGUCACAUUCCAUAAGAGACACUUUCCAAUUAUUUUUUUUUCUAGAAUUUUAACUCGCACAGUUUUUUCAGUGUUUUAGUUUCAGACUAUUUGCCAGGGAUUUCAGUAUUAUCUGAGAAAAUUUCAGCAUAAUCGGUCAGAUAGUUUUCCAGAAAAGGUACAUCAAGGUUCGAAAAAUGUCAAAAAAGUGAUAUUGAAAAAAAUGCAAUUUUAGGUUUGCUUAGAAAAGCAACGACUACACUUCAAUGUGCUACAAAAGCAUCCCUGGCGGGAAAAUUUACAAUCACAACUUAUGAAAAUGGCAGAAAUUGAAUAUCUUUAACCGAUCUAGCCAUAUUUAUUAUAAAAAAUACAUAGGCGCAGAAAAAAAUCAUAGAAAACAACAUGUGAACAAACCUUUAAAUACCAGGAUACGCUGUUUUGGGCGCGAUUUUUAAAUGGCUUCGUGCACUUCUGCGCACUCGCCACUGCACGGUUUUGCUCCAUAUAGUGUGUAUUAUUUUUUAGUAAUGAAAUCAAAACAUUCUUUUUUUAAGAUUUACCCUACCGUACCUCCUUAAUACAUUGGUUUUGAUACAUUAGUUUUGCCUUGUUUCACCUAACUACUGUUUCCACAAAGGUUGUCAAUAGUGGUAGUACUAAUUUGUAAACUGAAUGGCAACUAUGGGUCAAAGUGCAUAAUUUUUUGGAGGGGUGGGGGGACAGAUUUAACUGUAUUGCCCUCUUUCUUUCUUUUUUGCUGUGUUGUUUCACUACAGCACAAAGAAAAAGCCUUGAAAUUCAACUAGCCUAGUGGACCAGAUCACUAGGUGUGUUUUUUUCUUGUAAUUUCUUAAUCCCAGUGCUUCCCUAUUGUUGAUUAUGUUGCUUUUUAUCCACGAGUGAAAAGUUUUAUAUUAACCCUGUGGGUGUAUGCAAUGUUCACAUUGUUGUCGUAGGCACACAGUGAUGCCUUGAGACGUUCACAUCUAGAUUCCCAAGCAUUUAUUGGAAGGCAUUAACAGAGACAUACUAAUUUAAGAGAAUGCCUUGCACUGCAUUAAUGUAAUUCAUCAGCUUUGUUGUGCUGCAUUUUAAGCCUGGCAAGACUGGUCACCUCAAAAUGGGGACCUGAAAUUUUUAUCUGUAAACACCUGUACAUUGUAUCAUGAAAACCAGCUCAGGGUAAUGUAACAAUGUUACUUCAGUUCUUUUCCUUUUUGCACUUGGUAAGUGGUUCGAGUGGUGCUCCGCAUACGUUGUCGCCAUGACCGAUUAUGAGUGGUGGAUGAUAAAAAUGGAAUAGAAUCAAGGGAAAGAAAUUGUUACGUUAUACUGGC